AUGCAAACUUCACAAAAUGAUGAAGUAGAGACGGUCCAUCUUCAGGAAACCACAGUUGCGAAUGUUGGAAAUGUAGUCACGGAAGAAGUUUUGGAAUCCUCCGAUAUCACAGAAAAACCGUUUAAAGUGGAUGUACUUAUCUCAAAUAGUAACCAAGCCGAGGUCACGUCACAUGUUGAAGAGAAUGUAGUUUCUUCAUUUGCCACUCCAGAAAUUAUCCAUGACUACUCUGAUACCUCAUCUAACUCUGGAAAGGAACCGGAGUCAGUGAACGUAGAUAAUUAUCAACAACCAUCUUAUGACACGCAGUCACCCAGUGAAUCUGCAACGACGCAGUCAAGUAUCCUUCUCACUGAAAUUUCUGAGUCAGCACAUCCACCCGAACAAGAUAUUGCGCUAGUCCAAAAUACGCCAACCAAAGACAUUCAAACCAAUGACCAGAAGCCAACAGGUACAACAGAAGCUGCUGAGACUCAAACUGAAGUAGUGACAGAGUUGGAAUCUGGAGAUGUGUAUAUACCUGAACAACAGGUGGGUGCUUUAACAGACGAAACUGUGAACACUUCUGGUGGUGAAAAUGCCGAAAAUGGCAACCUGAUUCCCCCAAUAGGACAAGCCGAUUCUCAGCCCUCCGUCAAUGUUGAGACUGCACCAAGUCAUUCUGCUGUUCCUCCUGAAGCUAUUCCUCCCCCAAUCCAUCAGGAUGAUGUUGAAUCACAUACAGAGAAUAUCGAAUAUCCAUCUCAUAUUUCUGAUUUUGGAUCUAAAGUUCCUGCGGAGACUGCGACGGAAGCAGUCUAUACAACAAAUCAACCUCAUGAUCAGUCAAACAUUGUAGUUGCUCAAGACCAAUCUGAACUUUCGUAUGAUUCUGAGGCAACUCCAGCCGAUCCAAACCAAACUUUUGUUCCUUCCUUACAACAAGCAGUCUCUUCAUAUGAUGUUAACCACGAAGGCUCAACUCAAGCAUCACCAAUGAGUGAAAUUAUUUUCCACGAUGAUAAAGAAAAUAUAUUAAAACCAGAAAGUGAUUCGUCAAUUUAUAUACCAUCAGAUUUCCAAGGAAGUGAAAAUAGCAUUUCCGAGGCAAAUCCAAUUUCACAAUCAAAUGCUCAAGAAAAUAACGAGAUCCACUCCUCGCCGAAUGCUGACUCAUCUGACAGCCAAACGAUCGUAACUCAAACUCUGUCACCUGAAAGUUCUCAAGAUCACUUGCAUUCCGAUGGAAGCAAUGAAACUGCAGAUAAAGAAACACAUACAGAAACUUACACUUCAGACAAACAUGAAAUUAACGAACAACAUCCACCGAUGAUAAAUGAAGCUGUGAUUGCGGGUGAUGAUGUUCCCUCCUACCCCUCAAAACCUUUGCUUGACACACAGUUAGACUCAGAGUCAAGUGAUCCUAUCACAAGCGGAAUAAAUGAGGAAAAUGUGGCCCAUGACACAAGUUCAGGGAUUGACCAACCUUAUUUACAACCAUCAACGGAGGAGCCAAAUAAACCAUCGAGUGAGUCAGAAUCCUAUGAUAUUGGUUCAGAAACAGAAUCUACUGUUGCUCCUUUAGGCGUGCCCGGUGAAAAUGUGGCUGGUGCCAGUGGCAAGCCCGUCCCAGUGAAAGACGCGGAAGUCAUUGAAGGUGAAUCGGUGGCAACUUUGCACGAUCCCACAGCUGCACCUGAAAUGAGUCAUUCGUCAAAACCAGAAAUUUUACAUCAAGAAUCUAACGAUGAAGUGAUUCCACAAUCGCAAUCUACAGAUGCAUUAAUAAAUGUUCAAAGGACCACUGUAAUGCCAGUAGUAGACGAUAUACCAUCGGGAGUCACGGAUGAAAUUGAAACAAAUAAUGGAGCCUCGCCAAAUUCCGCACAGCCUGUUAAUGAAAUCGCACAAGAGUUGUAUGAUCAUACAACAAACAUAGGAGUUGUCGAGUCGGAUAAAAUACAAGAGGCAAUUUCACCACCUCAAGAGUCAUCAGCAGAUUCAGUAGAGCCACAAGAAAAUGUAACACCGUCUAAUGCAAAUGACGCCUCAGAUUCUACGGAAGCACCAUCCCAAACGAUCAAUGAUGUUCCGUCCAUUCAACAGGGUGAAGUUUUGCAAACCGUCGACGAACAUUCCCCUGAAACACCCCUUGUAGCUAAUGGUAUGCCAUCAUCUCCUACAAAUGAAGAAGUUAAACCCUAUUUGACUGAGAGUGAUCCCGUGACCCACGGAACACUCAUUAAUUCAGAGACGCUUGGAAUAAACGUUGAUGAACAUAUUUCGCAAUCAACCGAAAAAGUUCCAAGUCAGGAUAGUAUUCCUUCUACAUCGCAAGAGGGUACCGGAGCACAAUUUUAG
RNAcentral lists this long non-coding RNA (2340 nucleotides) under Bemisia tabaci. Its description in RNAcentral is "lncRNA ENSSSA1NGG005409". Lineage: Eukaryota; Metazoa; Arthropoda; Insecta; Hemiptera; Aleyrodidae. The record is from RNAcentral.